UACAGAGGUCUCAAGCGUUGUUCGGAUUCAUUGGGCGUAAAGGGUGCGUAGGCGGCGCGGUAAGUCGAACGUGAAAUCCCUGGGCUCAACCCAGGAACUGCGUCCGAUACUGGUUGGCUUGAAUCCGGGAGAGGGAUGUGGAAGUUCCAGGUGUAGCGGUGAAAUGCGUAGAUAUCUGGAGGAACACCGGUGGCGAAGGCGACAUCCUGGACCGGUAUUGACGCUGAGGCGCGAAAGCCAGGGGAGCAAACGGG
Molecule: ribosomal RNA, 254 nt
Filed under: uncultured bacterium
Lineage: Bacteria
Description: partial 16S ribosomal RNA
Rfam family: Bacterial small subunit ribosomal RNA
Source: RNAcentral